GCGCGCGCAGGCGCGGGCAGGAGCGCAGGAGACGCGCCAGGCAGUCGUCGGUGACGUGGCCGCAGCCCGACAGCGUGACGGAUGCCAGUUCUCACUGUUGUUCAUCCAUUCUUCUCCUGAGAUGGUGAGCAUCUUUAUGACCAUUAUUUUGAACUCCUUAUCAGGUAAAUUACUUAUCUCUGUUUAAUUAAGGUUUUUUUCUGAGGUUUUAUCUUGUUCUUUCAUUUGGAACAUAGUGCUCUGUUUCUUCAUUUUGCUCGACUCUAUGCAUUAGAUACAACAGCCACCUCUCCCAGUCUUGAAGGAGUGGACUUUGUGUAGGAGAUGAACCAUAUUGCUCAACCAUGCCCUAGCUCUUGGUUGUCUCUCAAAGCUUUGUGAUUGUCUAAGCAGCCGCCUAUUUUAUUUUUAAUAGUUCCCAGUAGUUGAAGGUGUGUCAAGACCUGUCAGUGUCCCAAAGGGAAGAAUCUCAGGCAGCAGCUUUUAAAGUAUGCAAAUAUAUACAGGCCUAUGGGACUGCAAGCAUAAGUUUCACUAGCCACCAGAGCUGGAGGUGUCCCUCCCACCAGAGUCAAAAAAUUGGGGUCCAGACGAGGGUAUAAACUCCUUUCUGGGAGAUACCAGUGAGCUGUGGCAAGGCAGAGGGAGAGUGCAAAGAUGACCUCCCUGGCCUGUGUUGCCUGAGAGUACCUCUAUAAGCCCCUAGGUGUGUGCCAAACCAGAAGCCUGCCUCUCAAGCCAAAGCUCCAGGAUAAGUAAAUUGGCCUCUUUUGCAGGAAGACUUGGGGUUUUAGUCUGCUGUUUGUGCAGUGCCCUAGAGGUAGUAGCCUACCAAGCACUAUCUUCAAUGGUUAGAGUCCUGUGGGACCCAGGAACACAAGUCCCUCCCCUCUGGCCUCCAGAGACAGGCAAUCAAGGGGCAUCCCAUGGGCUGCGGUCACAAAAAAUGGGGCACCAGACAUGUCUAAGAGCUCGCCUUCAGGAUAUACUGGAACUAUACAUGGCCGAAGGACCCAUCCUCCAGGUUCUCUGGAAAGGAUUAUAGUCAGCCCUUAGGUGUGUGUGUCUAAUUAGAAGCCUACCCCUCAGGCUACAGCUAUGAUGAUAAGCAUAUAGGCCUCUUACAGAGAAAGGCUGAGCUCCUAGGUCUGUUGCUUCUUUCUGUGCCUGGAGAGUGAUAGCUGUUUAAGAGCUCUUUCUCCAUUGGUUAUAGUCCUCUGGGACCUGUGAGCAUAAGCCCUGCUGGCCACCAGAGCCAGGUGACAUAAAGGUGUCCCCUGACAGCAGCUACAAAAAUCCGAGUGCCAGACAAGGGUAUAAGCUCCUUUCUGGAAGAUACUGGUGAGCUAGAGCAAGGCUCUAGGCUUGCUAGAACACAAAGGUUGCAUCUGCUGGCCUCCACUCCCUGAGAGCAACUCUGUAGGCCCCUAGAACUGCACCAGACCAGAAGCCUGCCCCUCAGGCCAAAGCUCCUGGACAAGCAAAGUCUCAGAAAGACUGGGUACGUUUGUCUGUUUUCUAUGCAAUGCUGUGGGGAUGGCAGUCUGCCAAGAACUGUGUCUCCAUUGUUAUAGUCUCAUGGGAUGCAGGAAUGAAUGUAAGCCCCUUGGGCCUCCAGAACCAUGUGAUAAAGGGGUAUCCCCUGAUGGGAGCUGCCAAAACUGGGGCACCGGAUGCAUGUGAAAGUUCCCCUUCAGGAGAUGUUGGUGCUCUGGAGCAUGGCAGAGGACAGCCUGAAGAUGGUGCCUGCUGUCUGGAGCAAAACAGAAAAGGAGUGUAAAGAUGGCACCAACCCAAAGCAGAACACACACACAAACAAAAUGUGGCACCUGCAGGUUUUACCAAGGCAAAGGGAGAGCAUGAAGAUGGCACCUACCAGCCUCCAUCCCUGAAGGGUAUCUCAGCAGGCCCCUGCCCCUCAGGCUGAUGCUUUAAGGUUAGCAAAUAAGCCUCACAUAAAGUCUCGGUGCUUUUCAAAGGUCUGCUUCUGCAUGGGACCCUAAAGUGAGUGAGUCUGUGCACAAGCCCUUUAAGAGCCAUUUCUAAGUCUCGUGGGUCUGGUGGAUGCAAGCCCUGCUGGUUUUCAAAGCUGUUUUGAGGCCUCACCUCUCAAGUGCAGGUUUUAAAAGUUGGAGUGCCUAGUGAAGGGAGAAGCUCUGGGUUUUGAGUUCCCUCCCUAUGUGGGUUGCUGCCCUGGGUGUGGGCUUAUGGUGAGAUUGUGUCUCAGCCUCUCCUACCCACUACAAUGUGGUUCCCUUCUUACUUGCCCAAUGUGCAGGAGUCACUGUUAGUUUUUAGGGUUUUUUUCAGAGCAAAUUGUUCCAUAUGUAACUGUAGAUUUGGUGUG
Long non-coding RNA from Physeter macrocephalus (sperm whale), 2347 nucleotides. RefSeq lists it as uncharacterized. NCBI's taxonomy places the organism in Eukaryota, Metazoa, Chordata, Mammalia, Artiodactyla, Physeteridae. The transcript is spliced from 2 exons. The record is from RefSeq and is a predicted model, not a curated record.